GGAAUAUAGCUCAGUUGGUAGAGUGUUUGCCUUGAAUACACAAGGCACUGGGUUCAAUCCCCAGCACCA
This 69-nucleotide transfer RNA is filed under the name Marmota monax (woodchuck). RNAcentral's name for it is "tRNA.Ser". The stretch from base 7 to 64 matches the Rfam family "tRNA", at positions 8 to 63 of the family's 71-position model. From Rfam's summary of the family: Transfer RNA (tRNA) molecules are approximately 80 nucleotides in length. Their secondary structure includes four short double-helical elements and three loops (D, anti-codon, and T loops). Lineage: Eukaryota; Metazoa; Chordata; Mammalia; Rodentia; Sciuridae. The record is from RNAcentral.